This 2590-nucleotide ribosomal RNA is filed under the name Orphella catalaunica. RNAcentral's name for it is "eukaryotic LSU rRNA". The stretch from base 1422 to 2590 matches the Rfam family "Eukaryotic large subunit ribosomal RNA", at positions 1 to 978 of the family's 3401-position model. The record is from RNAcentral. Lineage: Eukaryota; Fungi; Kickxellomycota; Orphellales; Orphellaceae.
CUUGGUCAUUUAGAGGAAGUAAAAGUCGUAACAAGGUUUCCGUAGGUGAACCUGCGGAAGGAUCAUUACCAAAGUUUUUAUUUAUAAAAACAUACCAAUCCGAUUGGAAAAGUGUUAGGGAAAGACUGGCUUGAAGUAGUAGGAAGAAUGGGUUUUAUUACCCAGACAACAUACUAUUUCAGACUUGUUUUUCUUUUCCACUUUGAAGAUUGAAGUUUAAAAUAUUAGCAAUAAUAUUUCACCUAUUACUUUCGGGGAGUAGGAAGAGCUAUAGUGGGUAUAAUAUAGUAGGGAAGAUCUGGCUAAUUUUGGGAAAGGAACUGCCCAAGAAAACCAGUUUAACCAAACUAUAAUAUAUUCACUUCUUCUUACACCCCGGCUUUCUUGUGUGGGAUUGGGACUGUAAUUACCCCCAUAGUCCUGGUCAUUUUAACCACACAAGUGUUAACCAAAACCACUACUAAACUUGACUAAACUAAAACUCAAUAUUUUACCCAGGAUCAACUAUAUUUAUAUAGGAAAUUUUGGGUAAAUAUAUUAUACACACACAACUAUUAACAGUGGAUCCCUAGGCUCUUGCAUCGAUGAAGAACGUAGCGAAUUGCGAAAAUUUUGCGACUUGCAUUAUCGUGAACCAUCGAAUCUUUGAACGCAUAUUGCACCCUGUACUUUGUACAGGGUAUACCUGUUUGAGCAUCAGUUUAACUAAACACCACAACCAGAGUCCCUGUUUUGGCAGGAACUUGUGGGUUGGACUUGGGCAUUUCGUUUAAUAAAUUUGAUAAUUAUGUACCGAGCUUUACUUGGAACUCUUUUGCCAGAAAGUUCUCUCUAUAUUAGUAGGGCGCCCUAUUAAUAUAGAGAGAAAAUAAAGCGGGAAAGUUUAGGGAAAAGUAAGGUACCUAAUUAUCAAAUUUAUAUGGGCGAUUGCUUUAAAUUUCUGGUGAAAAUAAUAGUGGGGUCAUAUUCUUUGUAUAGUCAGAGCUAUAGAGUAAUAUAGAGGCGUUCCAAGCCAGUCUUAAUGGAAAUUUCCCCUUGCUUGAGACAGAGAGCUAUAGAGAAUCAUGUCUAGAUUUAUAUUAUAUAAUUUCGUUGGGCUUUGUCUCAUCUUUUAUAUAAUAGCGCAAAUAAAUCCUGAUAAAAUGCAUACUCUGGUUCACUGUUUAGAGGGAAAGUAGCCAGGAAGAUACUGGGUUGGAUUAGUAUGCCCAGAUAUUUGCAAAGUUUCUAUAGUAAUGAUUAUAUCUAUUCUGUUUUUAUGCAGAGGGAAGAUUAUGAUACUACAAUUUUCAGGCCAAAGUAGUCUAAAUGUUAUAGGGGUAACUCUUGACAUUAUAAAUUUACUGAGGUUAAUCCAGACCCAAAAAUGGCAUGCAAUACAUUAUUAUUGCAAUAGACUUUUAUAAGUCUAUAUAAACAUUUGAUCUCAAAUCAGGUAAGGCUACCCGCUGAUUUAAGCAUAUUAAUAAGCGGAGGAAAAGAAAAUAACUAUGAUUCCCCUAGUAACGGCGAGUGAAGCGGGAAAAGCUCAAGGUUUUAAUCUCCAAGGCCCCUUUGUUUGCCUUGGCGAGGUGUAACCUAUGAAUUAUGGAUUUUAUGGUCAGUAGGGCUUAAAUAUGACUGAAACUAGUUGAAUCUAGUACCAUUGAGGGUGAAAGUCCCGUUAAUAGUCAUAUUUAGCUCUGCUAUUGUACCCCAUUUUUCUAGAGUCGGGUUGUUUGGGAAUGCAGCCCUAAAUUGGAGGUAAAUUUCUCCUAAAGCUAAAUAUAUGCAAGAGACCGAUAGCACACAAGUACCGUGAGGGAAAGGUGAAAAGUACUCUGGAGAGAGAGUGAAAAGUACGUGAAACUGUUAGUAGGGAAACGUUUGCACAGCACACUUGCUUGCAGGUAGUUUAGGCUAUCUGUGGCAGCCUUACAGCAAUUUCCCCUGCUCGAUAAAACCCACUGGAAGGUAGGGAGUCUUCUAGUCAGUUAGCCACUUUAUUGGGGUUUUCUGGCCAGGCUUCUGUUUAUAGCCAGUGGGAAUAAUAGAGUGGGUAGGAGAUUGAGGACUGCUAAGCAGCUAUAACCUUUUGGUUGUGGCACUGUCCCGCCUUAUCUCCCAAGUAUAAACCUCUGGCUUGACAUUUUUAUGACAGCCGGGGGGAUAACAGCAAGCUGGCUUUGGAUGAGGGGUAAAUGGAACAAAUGCUUAAUGGAUGUAGGGAAGUGUUGAACAAUCGACCCGUCUUGAAACACGGACCAAGGAGUCUAACACUAGUGCAAGUUGUUGGGAUUUUAUUAAACCCAUAGGCGUAAUGAAAGUGAGGAGUGUUUUAUCGCACUUACUGGUACCAAUCUUCCCAAGAAAUUGGAGAGAUGCAGUACCCUCCAACCAGGAAAAGUUUACUUUGACUGGGUUGAGAGUGAGCACUUGUGUUAGGACCCGAAAGAUGGUGAACUAUACUUGAAUAGGGUGAAGCCAGGGGAAACCCUGGUGGAAGCUCGUAGCGAUUCUGACGUGCAAAUCGAUCGUAAAAUUUGAGUAUAGGGGCGAAAGACUAAUCGAACUAUCUAGUAGCUGGUUCCUGCCGAAGUUUCCCUCAGGA